RNAcentral lists this long non-coding RNA (5146 nucleotides) under Homo sapiens (human). RNAcentral describes it as "HSALNT0242897". Lineage: Eukaryota; Metazoa; Chordata; Mammalia; Primates; Hominidae. The record is from RNAcentral.
UCGGCGCAGACACGAGUGCCCCCGACUUGAGCCGAACCUCUAGCCGAUGCCGGCGCCGCCGCCGCCGGGGAUGCCCCCAGGUUCCGGAGGAAUGCUCGCUCCCCGCUGGAGUCCUACCAGCCCAACACGGACCUGAGCCGCGACCACGCGGGCUGCAGCCUGCAGCACAUCAGCUACCCGGAGAACGCGGACGCGGAAGCACCGCUGCUCAGCACCCCCGAAGAAACACGGAAUCCAGAGAGGCACAGGCACCGCCCCGGCGCGCACAGCUGCACUCAGCGGCUUCCUUCCUACUACAUACAUACAUAGGAGUGGGAGCCGAGGACCACUUGUUGCUUGCGGACUUCCUCUAGCAUAAAAGAUGGAAAGAAAACACACACCGAAGCAAGGGACCAAAGGAACAGAAAAGAAACGCAGAGAUCAUAGGAAAACUGCAAAGAAAUACUUGAUAAUAUCUUCCAAACGAUUAGAGAAGACAUAACAUUCAUUAAGAAUACACAUAUAGAUGUAUAUAUACGUGUAUGUGUGUAUGUAUAUAUUAUUAUGUGUGCAUAUAUAUGCAUGUGUAUGUGCGUAUAUUUGUAUUAACUGUAGAAGAUAAAGCUAGACACUAGUAAAAGUGGUAAAGCAGAUUUUAAUAAUAUACUAUUGUAAUAGGGAAGAAGGUACCUCGUGAACGGAACUGAACUUUGUGCAGAAGUGACUAGGUGUUUAAGAGGGAGGAGGAGGGAAUGUGAAGGGGAUGAGCAGGAACUCAGUAGUCAGGAAAGUGAAACUUGUGAAGGGUGGGUCAGUGUAAGUAAGGUUAGGCGACAGUGCCUGUUAGAUGGCUGUUAUGGGAGUCAGGGUCCUAUCCUCCCACAGUAACUGGGAGAUAGGCCCUUUGCUUCCUGGUGAUUGCAUGUUGGAGGAAUGGCUUUCAGGUUCUUGAGAAGGAUACUCCUGAUGUGUAGGAGACAUUACAUCCCAGAGAGACAGAGGAAGGAUUCACAAUUGUUUAGUUUUUUGUUGUUGUUGUUAACUCUUUAAGAAAGGGACAUCAGGGGCUGCUUGUAAGGUGUUGGCAAUAGCCAACAGUGAGUUCUUUUGGCAGCUUUCCCAGGAAGAUACUUUAGGGGGUCUGGGGUCAUCCUAUGGAUGCAGCUUUGAGCAGUUAAAAACUAUGUGUUUAGGCCGGGCGCUGUGGCUCACGCCUGUAACCCCAACACUUUGGGAGGCCGAGGCAGGUGCAUCACGGGGUCAGGAAUUCAAGAUCAGCCUGGUCAAGAUGGUGAAACCCCGUCUCUACUAAAAAUACAAAAAAUUAGCUGGGCAUCGUGGUGAGUGCCUGUAGUCCCAGCUACUUGGGAGGCUUGAGGCAGAGAAUUGCUUAACCCAGGAGGCGGAGGUUGCAGUGAGCUGAGAUCGCACCAAUGUAUUCCAGCCGGGGCGACAGAGCGAAACUCCGUCUCAAAAAAAAAGAAAGAAAAAGAAACUGUGUGUUUAAGCGUUUUGAUAUAGGGGGAAGGAUGGACCCGAUCCUUUUUGCUGAAGUCUGCAGAUUUCAUAGGCCAAGGUGGAGGCCUAGUUGAAAAGGGGGCUCAGGGAAGCCUGGCUAGAGCUUGGUCAAGGAGGGGAUCUUCAUCAGUCGUACGUAUGUACAUGGCACGUGGACCUGCAUAGACACGUGUUUGGUGGAGGCUGUCUUAUACGGAUUCUGCACAACUCAAGUCCCCUAAUGGGAACAGACUUGGGGAGGUCACUCUUGAGGCUUUUUGUGGUAUUGUGGCUACUGGGAGACCUGAGGAGGGUUCUGGUCACUAGCAGACUCAUUUCAUUCACCCCUUGGAAUCUGCCCAGGACUUGGACUUCUGUGUAAUAGUAACUUCACGCCCCAAUGAUCCUCCACGUUCCUUGCUGAUGCUGUGAUUGCUCCUCCAAGUUCUCCACCUAUGUCCAUCUGAGCACUUGGUAUUUCUACUCUAGUGUCAAAAGGUCCUGUUCCCAAGUCUCCUCCCAAACAUUUAUUCCAAUUUAUCAUCCAGAUGCCCGUCCUUUGCCAUCCCUCUCUGUUCCAGCAAAGGACACCACCCCUCAGGGAGAUGCUCACAGUGGACUCCUUGUCCUCAUCCUGACUCCCCUUUUCUCUGGCACCCGCAGGCCUCAGUGAGUCUCUCGGUCUCUGGCAGCAGCACAGGUCCUGGACUCGAGCCCAUCUCUCCAUCCCCCCCUCCACUACUCCCCUGGUCCAGCUGUCACCAUUCUCACCCUUGAAUGACUGUCACAGCCUCCCACCUGGUCUUCCUGCUUUACUAUGUUCCCUGCAGGCUGCCUCUGAACUUUUAUAUUGAAAUGAAACUCUUACUGUGGGGAAAACCCCUCCAUUCUCAGACCCCUGGUACCCUUCACUCAUUUACCACUCUGGCCAUCGUUCACUGAGUUCAGGCCACUCUGGCCUCUGCAUGGUCCUCACGCCCACCAGACUCAUGCCCCCUUCAGGGCUAUUGUCAGUUCUACCCCCUUUUCCUACAAAGUUCUUCCCUAUGUCUUCGUUGCCCAGGUGCUCCCUCCCGACAGAGGCCUUGCUGACCACCCCUACCAAGAUUGCCCCACAUUUAUGUAAAUCCAGUCUGUUUAACUAUUAGGGUGAGUGACCUCCAUUCAUACUUGAUAAAUAAUUUACAGUUAUCUAAAUACAGUGCCUGACUCAACAUAAAGACACAGAGGAAGUUUAAAUGGAAAGUUUAAUUCAGGUUACUUUUGUCAGGUAUCUCUCUUACAUACCAAAAUAAAAAUGUAUAAAUACAAAAAAAAAAUUAGCCAGGCGUGGUGGCUAAUUGAGAGGAGAUGGGGAAAAGUGAUGUGGGGUUCCCCAAUGUUGUCCAAGGGGAUUUCUUCUUAGAAAUCUCUCCCUACAUCACUCUUGUAGUGAAAUAAAACCAUCUCCAUGUAAUUUAUUAAUUUUGUUUUUUGAAAAAUAUCCACUAUUUGAAUCUAAAUAUUAUAGAAAUUUCUCUUUAAACAUUCCCUUUUACUUUAUCCCAAAAUAAAUCUCCCUUUGCAUAAAUUUUUUCUUUUUCUUUUUUUUUUUUUGAGACGGAGUCUCGCUCUGUCACCCAGACUGGAGUGCAGUGGUGCGAUCUUGGCUCACUGCAAGCUCCGCCUCCCAGGUUCACGCCAUUCUCUUGCCUCAGCCUCCCGAGUAGCUGGGACUACAGGUGCCCGCCACCACGCCCGGCUAAUUUUUUUUGUGUUUUUAGUGGAGACGGGAUUUCACCAUGUUAGCGAGGAUGGUCCUGAUCUCCUGACCUCAUGAUCCGCCUGCCUCAGCCUCCCAAAGUGCUGGGAUUACAGGUGUGAGCCACCACGCCCGGCCAAAUUUUUCAACAAAUACAUACUCAAGCCAAAAAAUGGUGCUUUAACUUAUGACUUAAAAUUGUUGGGACUAUAACUCUAGAAAAAAUAUUGCAGUUGAGUACCGAAAGUAUUGAUAAAUGAAAUCUGUUUUCAAAGUGCAAUAAUUUUGUAGAGGAUAAAAUAGAAAUUGUUCACCUAGGAGAUUAAUACAUAAAUAAUAUUUACAGAGCAUUGUCUUGAGAAAUGCAGUUUGAUGAUGUUUCAGUUUGAGCAAAAGAUGAGGCUCUAAAGUAUGGCAUUUCUUUUGCUGCUAAUGAGAGAGAAUCCAGACUUUGCUGAUGUGCUCCAGGGUCUCCUGUAUUCUUUAGAUUUGGAGGAAUCAACCAUGAAGGAGCUGGCUGCAGUGUCAGAAGGGGAAGGUGGAAACUUCAACACAAAAAGGGGCUCCCCUAGAUCCACUGGCCUCAGGGACCCUCGGAUGGAGUCAACAUGGGAGAACCUGGCCUGGCAGCUCUGGAGGCCUGAGUGGAGGGGAGAGAACAGCGCUGCCCUAAGACCCAAGCCCUCCUGGGGAAGGGAGCAGCAGGGCUUGGCUCUUGGCUGCCUGGCUGGUGUGGAAAAGCUCCUUGUGAUGGGGUGACUCCCAUGGCCUCUUCCAGGGACUCCAGCAUAGAUAACGUCUCUGCCAGCCCUUCUUGUUGCUUAGAGAGUCUGGAUCUCUCUUCUUUUUUCUUUUCUUCUUUAAACCUCUCUUCUUUGAGUUCUUGAACCAGGGAUGUGAUUUUUAUUUUAUUUUAUUUUUUUGCAAUGGAGUCUUGCUCUUGUUGCCCAGGCUGGAGUGUAAUGGUGCGAUCUCAGCUCACUGCAAUCUCCACCUCCCAGGUUCAAGCAAUUCUCCUGCUCCAGCCUGCUGAGUAGCUGGGAUUACAGGCGCCCGCCACCAUGCCUGGCUAAUUUUUGUAUUGUUAGUAGAGAUGGGUUUCACUGCUGGCCAGGCUGGUCUUGAACUCCUGACUCAGGUGAUCUGUCCACCUCGGCCUCCCAAAGUGUUGAAAUUACAGGUGUGAGCAGCUGUGCCCCGCUGGGAUGUGAAUUUCUGCAUCAGCAUUGCGUUGGUGCUGUUCACCUUAUAAGCAUCUACAAAACUGGGGAUGUUUAAAUACUUUUUCAUACACCGACAUCCUCUAAGGAUCCCUCAAUCUCUGCAGUGUUUUUUUUUUUUUUUUUGUCAUCACUGUGCUUGCCUGUGAGUUGGCAUUUCUCCUCCAUGUGUGAAUCCAGUGUUUCUGCAAGCUGCUUUUCGUAUGUUACAUGGAGUCGAUUCCUAACAGGUUGACUAAGGAAAUGAAAGCCACGAAAGUUAGGAUAGUAGUUCCCUGUGAUGGGGGAGAAGGUGUACCAAACAACUGGGCACACCAGAGCUCCCAAUCUUCAAUAUGUUAACCUGGGUAGUGGGUACACAGGUGUUUGUUUAAUUUUUAUGUUAGAAACUAUGUAUAUAUGGUUUAUAAACUCUUCUGUAUGUGUGACAGAUUUCAAAAUAUAAACAACAUCAAAAAAGUUUUGAAUAAAGAAUUACCUAGGGAACUUGUUAAGAAGGCGGAUUCCUAGUUGCAUUUCAUAUUCUGAUUCCAGAGACCUGGUCAGGACCACAGAAUCCACAUUUUUUUUUUUGAGACAAGAGUUUUGCUCUUGUUGCCCAGGCUGGAGUGCAAUGGUGUGAUCCCGGCUCACCACAACCUCCGCCUCCUGGGUUCAAGCGAUUCUCCUACCUCAGCCUCCCGAGUAGCUGGGAUUACACGCAUGCGCC